UUAAAAAGUGGAGGGAACUCCAUCAUGGCAGUGGAAACUGUUGGGCUUGAGUGUGGUAGGGGCAGAGGGAAUUCCCGGUGUAGCGGUGAAAUGCGUAGAUAUCGGGAAGAACACCAGUGGCGAAGGCGCUCUGCUGGGCCAUCACUGACGCUCAUGGACGAAAGCCAGGGGAGCGAAAGGGAUUAGAUACCCCUGUAGUCCUGGCCGUAAACGAUGAACACUAGGUGUCGGGGGAAUCGACCCCCUCGGUGUCGUAGCCAACGCGUUAAGUGUUCCGCCUGGGGAGUACGCACGCAAGUGUGAAACUCAAAGGAAUUGACGGGGGCCCGCACAAGCGGUGGAGUAUGUGGUUUAAUUCGAUGCAACGCGAAGAACCUUACCAGGGUUUGACAUCCUGCGAAUCUCUUGGAAACGAGAGAGUGCCUUCGGGAACGCAGUGACAGGUGGUGCAUGGCUGUCGUCAGCUCGUGUCGUGAGAUGUUGGGUUAAGUCCCGCAACGAGCGCAACCCACGUCUUUAGUUGCCAGCAUUUAGUUGGGCACUCUAGAGAGACCGCCGGUGAUAAACCGGAGGAAGGUGUGGAUGACGUCAAGUCAUCAUGCCCCUUACAUCCUGGGCUACACACGUACUACAAUGCUACGGACAAAGGGCAGCAAGUUCGCGAGGACAAGCAAAUCCCAUAAACCGUGGCUCAGUUCAGAUCGUAG
RNAcentral lists this ribosomal RNA (707 nucleotides) under uncultured bacterium. Its description in RNAcentral is "bacterial SSU rRNA". It matches the Rfam family "Bacterial small subunit ribosomal RNA", at positions 595 to 1303 of the family's 1533-position model. The record is from RNAcentral.